GCCCUAAUGGCUCAGUGGAUAAAGCGUCAGUCUGCGGACUGAAAGGUCCCAGGUUCGAUUCCGGCCAAGGGCA
RNAcentral lists this transfer RNA (73 nucleotides) under Myotis davidii. It matches the Rfam family "tRNA". From Rfam's summary of the family: Transfer RNA (tRNA) molecules are approximately 80 nucleotides in length. Their secondary structure includes four short double-helical elements and three loops (D, anti-codon, and T loops). The record is from Rfam by way of RNAcentral. Lineage: Eukaryota; Metazoa; Chordata; Mammalia; Chiroptera; Vespertilionidae.